Molecule: ribosomal RNA, 208 nt
Filed under: uncultured bacterium
Lineage: Bacteria
Description: partial 16S ribosomal RNA
Rfam family: Bacterial small subunit ribosomal RNA
Source: RNAcentral
CUCGUAGGUGGCCAACUAAGUCAGACGUGAAAUCCCUCGGCUUAACCGGGGAACUGCGUCUGAUACUGGAUGGCUUGAGUUUGGGAGAGGGACGCGGAAUUCCAGGUGUAGCGGUGAAAUGCGUAGAUAUCUGGAGGAACACCGGUGGCGAAGGCGGCGUCCUGGACCAAUACUGACACUGAGUGAGCGAAAGCCAGGGGAGCAAACG